GGGCGAAGGGAGGCGCGAGACACCAAGACUGGUGAUCGAGCAGCGACACCCAUGACAAGUCUAACAGUAAUAGAUAAAUAACAGUAAUAUAUAAAUCAAACAAACAAUAAAUAUUAGAACAGGUUUACGUUAAAGUAAGUCGAGGCGACCUGCAUACCCAAAAGACACCCGAUCCAAGGAGAAACGGAUAACGACUCCGAGCACCGUCUUGUUAGUAACCAUGGCAACGUCAGCGAAAUCUUAUACUGCGGAAUACAGACACUGCCUGAGUUGAGCUUGAAUUCAUAUUUAUCCCGCGAGGGGAAGCCGAUAACUUGGCAUAUUUAUAUUAUUAUAAAAUAGUUUUGUUUGUCGCAGUUAGGGAUACGAGAGUGUGUAAACAAGUGGAAGUAUAGUGGUAAGGUGCUUUGGUGCCGGAGACGUCGUGUGAAGAGGGAAGAGCCUAAGGACCCAACCUGACGGUUAAAGUUACUGUGGAUUUUGGGGAAGUCAAGUGUUGAGCUGACAAUGACAAGGGGUGGAGGGUGUCAGCACAUCAAACAGAUGUGGUGACCCGAGACAGGGAAUUUUGAGAUUUGCUCAGUGAAAAGCGAGGUACGAAAAAAUUGGACUUGGUUGAAGAGCGAGUGUUGUGUUCAUGCACAGAGUGUGUUGGAGUGUGGUCAAGUCUCUUCCACUAGCAAGCAGGCAGGCAUCAUCGGCGAAGAGCUUGGUUAGAAGAUUAGAGCAGUUCGACAAGUCAUUUACAGAGAGUAAAAAAGCCAAAGGCCCGAUAAUUGAACCCUGGACAAUUCCGCACUGAAUGGGCAACAUUGGGGACUUAUGAGAACCUAAUUCAACAAAUUGAAAACGACCACUCAGGUAAUUAGCUAGUAGU
This is a non-coding RNA of Styela clava, 877 nucleotides long. The record is from RefSeq and is a predicted model, not a curated record. NCBI's taxonomy places the organism in Eukaryota, Metazoa, Chordata, Ascidiacea, Stolidobranchia, Styelidae.